This 292-nucleotide ribosomal RNA is filed under the name uncultured bacterium. RNAcentral describes it as "partial 16S ribosomal RNA". It matches the Rfam family "Bacterial small subunit ribosomal RNA", at positions 505 to 796 of the family's 1533-position model. The record is from RNAcentral.
GUGCCAGCAGCCGCGGUAAGACGAACCGUGCGAACGUUGUUCGGAAUCACUGGGCUUAAAGGGUUCGUAGGUGGCUCGCUAAGUCAGACGUGAAAUCCCUCGGCUCAACCGGGGAACUGCGUCUGAGACUGGAGAGCUUGAGUAUGGGAGAGGGAUGUAGAAUUCCAGGUGUAGCGGUGAAAUGCGUAGAUAUCUGGAGGAACACCGGUGGCGAAGGCGGCGUUCUGGACUGCAACUGACACUGAGGAACGAAAGCCAGGGGAGCAAACGGGAUUAGAUACCCCUGUAGUCC